Molecule: non-coding RNA, 73 nt
Organism: Potamilus streckersoni
Lineage: Eukaryota; Metazoa; Mollusca; Bivalvia; Unionida; Unionidae
Source: the annotation of a GenBank genome assembly
UGCUCAGGUGGCCUAGAAUUAGAGCGUCCGCCUUGGAUGCGGGCGGUUGUGGGUUCAAUCCCCGGUCGAGUCA